UACACUCCUACGGGAGGCAGCAGUAGGGAAUCUUCGGCAAUGGGGGCAACCCUGACCGAGCAACGCCGCGUGAGUGAAGAAGGUUUUCGGAUCGUAAAGCUCUGUUGUAAGUCAAGAACGAGUGUGAGAGUGGAAAGUUCACACUGUGACGGUAGCUUACCAGAAAGGGACGGCUAACUACGUGCCAGCAGCCGCGGUAAUACGUAGGUCCCGAGCGUUGUCCGGAUUUAUUGGGCGUAAAGCGAGCGCAGGCGGUUUGAUAAGUCUGAAGUUAAAGGCUGUGGCUCAACCAUAGUUCGCUUUGGAAACUGUCAAACUUGAGUGCAGAAGGGGAGAGUGGAAUUCCAUGUGUAGCGGUGAAAUGCGUAGAUAUAUGGAGGAACACCGGUGGCGAAAGCGGCUCUCUGGUCUGUAACUGACGCUGAGGCUCGAAAGCGUGGGGAGCGAACAGGAUUAGAAACCCUAGUAGUCCC
RNAcentral lists this ribosomal RNA (473 nucleotides) under uncultured organism. RNAcentral's name for it is "partial 16S ribosomal RNA". It matches the Rfam family "Bacterial small subunit ribosomal RNA", at positions 332 to 797 of the family's 1533-position model. The record is from RNAcentral.